RNAcentral lists this small nuclear RNA (148 nucleotides) under Nannospalax galili (Upper Galilee mountains blind mole rat). RNAcentral describes it as "U1 spliceosomal RNA (ENSNGAG00000003882.1)". It matches the Rfam family "U1 spliceosomal RNA". From Rfam's summary of the family: U1 is a small nuclear RNA (snRNA) component of the spliceosome (involved in pre-mRNA splicing). Its 5' end forms complementary base pairs with the 5' splice junction, thus defining the 5' donor site of an intron. Lineage: Eukaryota; Metazoa; Chordata; Mammalia; Rodentia; Spalacidae. The record is from RNAcentral.
AUAUUUACUGGCAGCGGGUAUACUGUAAUCACGAAGGUGGAUUUUGGAGGGCAAGCCUCAUCCAUUGCACUCCAGAUACGUUAGCGCCAUUGAUUCGUCCAUAACUGCAGAAUUUGUGGGCGUGGGGGACUGCAUUUGCACUCUCCUU